UUCCUCUCUAAAAUGAAAAGCAAAAUAAGAUUCCUUCCAACCAAAUACUUAGAAUGGGAGUCAUCCAUUUCGAUUCUCAUUUCAGAUCUUAAUUACCCCAACCAAACAUCCUCUCAAAGUUGACUCCCAAUUUUCAUUAACAGGUGCAAAUAUAAUCUCUCUAGCUUGGUGCACAACCAAAGUGCUCCUCAAACCCUUCCUCAUGGCAGCAUGGUCACAUCACUAUCUCUCA
Molecule: long non-coding RNA, 232 nt
Filed under: Elaeis guineensis (African oil palm)
Lineage: Eukaryota; Viridiplantae; Streptophyta; Magnoliopsida; Arecales; Arecaceae
Description: long non-coding RNA (EGUI_LNC033831)
Source: RNAcentral